GCUGCUUGUUUCGGCAGCAUAUGCACUAAAACUGGCAUGAUAGAGAUUAGCAUGGCCCCUGAGCAAGGCUGACUCGCAAACUUGUGAAGUGUUCCAUAUGUUA
Molecule: small nuclear RNA, 103 nt
Organism: Artibeus jamaicensis (Jamaican fruit-eating bat)
Lineage: Eukaryota; Metazoa; Chordata; Mammalia; Chiroptera; Phyllostomidae
Source: RefSeq, a predicted model, not a curated record